RNAcentral lists this long non-coding RNA (1216 nucleotides) under Setaria viridis. RNAcentral describes it as "long non-coding RNA (SVIR_LNC004952)". The record is from RNAcentral. Lineage: Eukaryota; Viridiplantae; Streptophyta; Magnoliopsida; Poales; Poaceae.
CAAUCAAAGGAGCACACAUGCAUGCCCAGCCCAACCUCUCUAUCUGCGUACACACGGUGCACCCCUGAAAACCAAGGAAAAGAAUGCUUAUGCGACGCUGAAGGAGCUGGCCGCCUUCUCGACGCCCUUCCUGGCGCCCUUGAACCACCUCUUGUCGCCGGCCUGCGCCUUGCAGAUGUAGAGCUUGCCGUCCGAGACGGUGGCCGUGAUGAGCUGGUGCUUGCCGCCCUCGUCGCCGUCCGCCGUCCUCGUCAGCACCGACACGCUGUAGUACUGCUUCCCGUCCACCACCGGCGCCGAGCUCUCCAGGAUGUUGGCUGUCGCCACCGCGUCGGUCUCGAACCCGCCCUGCACGCGCAAGCACAGGUAAAUAGCCGUCGCCGAAUGAAUCAGAGAUUAAUUAGAUGCAGCAUGUGAACUAGUAGAACUAGAACAAACCUCGGAGUCAGUCUUGCCGCUGUAGGCCUGCUUGCCGAGGAGGUAGUCGACCUGGGCGAGGAACUGCUCCGGGGAGCCGAACUCGGUGAUGGUCUUCUUGGUGGUGGGCUGGACCAUGACGGAGACGUUGCUGUUGGCGUCGAAGUUGUCCUCGUAGCGGAGGACCUGGCCGGGGAACUCGCGCUCCUUGCUGGGGUUCCACUUGGACGGGAUCAGCAGCUUGAACCCGUCGCCGCUGUAGGCGAUGAAGUCCGUGUUCGCCUUGGGCUUCCCGAACACGUUGGCUGCAACCAAGCAAGCAAGCGCGAUUGCAAUCAAGAUUCAAUAACCGACCGAGAUCCAUCAAGCUACCCAGGAGCUGAGACAUUAAGCGCGUGUUGUUACCUGCUUCUCCGUAGGCGGCGGCGGCGGGGCUCACCUUGGCGCCGACGGCGGCGACGCCGGCGAGGAGCGUGAGCGCGGCGCGGCGGGUGACCGCGGCGGCGUCACCGCUCUCGGCGGCGGCGUCCUGCCUCUGCGCCUUGCAGACGAGCUGGGCCCGCGGCACCUGGGGGCGCGCCGAGGCGGCGGCGGCGCCGAGGCGAGCGGUGGACUGGAGGAGGAAGCAGGAGGUGGACGCCAUGGCUGCCGCUCGUUGCUCGCUAGCUGGCUCCUGCUGCUGCUGCUACUAUCUUCCUCUAGAAGACUUGUGGAUGCACCGGACGCUACGAGUGAUAACGAGGGGAGGGACCGAGGGAGCGGUGGGGUCGGCACGGCGAGGCUUCGUUUGGUGUGCGGC